This 91-nucleotide non-coding RNA is filed under the name Bacillus sp. (in: firmicutes). RNAcentral describes it as "Bacillus sp. Glycine sequence". It matches the Rfam family "Glycine riboswitch aptamer". From Rfam's summary of the family: This family represents the bacterial glycine riboswitch. Glycine riboswitches usually consist of two metabolite-binding aptamers domains with similar structures in tandem. RNAcentral also lists the same sequence under 1 other name. Lineage: Bacteria; Bacillati; Bacillota; Bacilli; Caryophanales; Bacillaceae. The record is from RNAcentral.
AUGAAGGCGAGGGGAGAGACUGUUUAUACAGCGCCGAAGGAGCAAACAAGCUUUUUGUGAAUCUCUCAGGCAAAAGAACUCUUGCUGGACG